GACGAACGCUGGCGGCGUGCUUAACACAUGCAAGUCGAACGGAAAGGCCCUGCUUGCAGGGUACUCGAGUGGCGAACGGGUGAGUAACACGUGGGUGAUCUGCCCUGCACUUCGGGAUAAGCUUGGGAAACUGGGUCUAAUACCGGAUAGGAGCCAUCUUUAGUGUGGUGGUUGGAAAGUUUUUUCGGUGUAGGAUGAGCUCGCGGCCUAUCAGCUUGUUGGUGGGGUAAUGGCCUACCAAGGCGGCGACGGGUAGCCGGCCUGAGAGGGUGUACGGCCACAUUGGGACUGGGAUACGGCCCAGACUCCUACGGGGGCAGCAGUGGGGAAUAUUGCACAAUGGGCGCAAGCCUGAUGCAGCGACGCCGCGUGGGGGAUGAAGGCCUUCGGGUUGUAAACUCCUUUCGCUAGGGACGAAGCUUUGUUGUGACGGUACCUAGAUAAGAAGCACCGGCUAACUACGUG
RNAcentral lists this ribosomal RNA (465 nucleotides) under uncultured bacterium. Its description in RNAcentral is "partial 16S ribosomal RNA". It matches the Rfam family "Bacterial small subunit ribosomal RNA", at positions 28 to 507 of the family's 1533-position model. The record is from RNAcentral.